UGGGGAAUUUUGGACAAUGGGCGAAAGCCUGAUCCAGCAAUGCCGCGUGUGUGAAGAAGGCCUUCGGGUUGUAAAGCACUUUUGUCCGGAAAGAAAUCCUUGGCUCUAAUACAGUCGGGGGAUGACGGUACCGGAAGAAUAAGCACCGGCUAACUACGUGCCAGCAGCCGCGGUAAUACGUAGGGUGCAAGCGUUAAUCGGAAUUACUGGGCGUAAAGCGUGCGCAGGCGGUUUGCUAAGACCGAUGUGAAAUCCCCGGGCUCAACCUGGGAACUGCAUUGGUGACUGGCAGGCUAGAGUAUGGCAGAGGGGGGUAGAAUUCCACGUGUAGCAGUGAAAUGCGUAGAGAUGUGGAGGAGUACCGAUGGCGAAGGCAGCCCCCUGGGCCAAUACUGACGCUCAUGCACAAAAGCGUGGGGAGCAAACAGGAUUAGAUACCCUGGUAGUCCACGCCCUAAACGAUGUCAACUAGUUGUUGGGGAUUCAUUUCCUUAGUAACGUAGCUAACGCGUGAAGUUGACCGCCUGGGGAGUACGGUCGCAAGAUUAAAACUC
Molecule: ribosomal RNA, 554 nt
Filed under: uncultured bacterium
Lineage: Bacteria
Description: partial 16S ribosomal RNA
Rfam family: Bacterial small subunit ribosomal RNA
Source: RNAcentral